RNAcentral lists this ribosomal RNA (438 nucleotides) under uncultured Anaerolineaceae bacterium. RNAcentral describes it as "bacterial SSU rRNA". It matches the Rfam family "Bacterial small subunit ribosomal RNA", at positions 927 to 1382 of the family's 1533-position model. The record is from RNAcentral. Lineage: Bacteria; Bacillati; Chloroflexota; Anaerolineae; Anaerolineales; Anaerolineaceae.
AAGCGGUGGAUGAUGUGGUUAAUUCGAUGCAACGCGAAGACUUACCUGGGUUGACAUAUAGGUUGUAGGGAACUGAAAAGGGACCGACCCUUCGGGGAGCCUAUACAGGUGUUGCAUGGCUGUCGUCAGCUCGUGUCGUGAGAUGUUCGGUUAAGUCCGCUAACGAGCGCAACCCUCGUCGUAUGUUAUAUGUGUCAUACGAGACUGCCGGUAAAAGCCGGAGGAAGGUGAGGAUGAUGUCAAGUCAGCAUGACCUUUAUAUCCAGGGCUACACACACCGCUACAAUGGUCUGUACAAUGGGUAGCCAAGCCGCGAGGCGGAGCCAAUCCUGAAAGCAGGCCUCAGUUCAGAUUGCAGUCUGCAACUCGACUGCAUGAAGCCGGAGUUGCUAGUAACCGCAGGUCAGCAAUACUGCGGUGAAUACGUUCCCGGGUCUU